UGGAGCUGUAUUGUGUACUAUUGAUAUUAACAGAGAUUGUAUCCCUAAUGGAAUUUUGAAGUACAUUUUGGAUAAACUAGAUACGGCAGACUCAAAAGACGACAUUCAAGCAGUGUUUCAUGUUGAUGAGGCCACUGAAUUUUUGUAAGCCACUGGCUAUACUAAACCUGUGUUGAAUCUGGGCUUAGAUGACAAGGAUAACAUCCAAUCCAUUAUGGUAGCCUACCAUUGUUUUCUAAAAGUCAAAUCUGAAAUGGAUCAAUUUAUUGAGGGGCUACGUGUCACUGGAGUACUUGAUUUUGUUCGGGAGUCACCCUCUGUGUUAAAGCACAUGUUUGUUCUCAU
Molecule: long non-coding RNA, 345 nt
Organism: Amphimedon queenslandica
Lineage: Eukaryota; Metazoa; Porifera; Demospongiae; Haplosclerida; Niphatidae
Exons: 2
Source: RefSeq, a predicted model, not a curated record